UAAGCCUAUACAUGAAUACCUUCCUGGUGCA
Molecule: non-coding RNA, 31 nt
Filed under: Rattus norvegicus (Norway rat)
Lineage: Eukaryota; Metazoa; Chordata; Mammalia; Rodentia; Muridae
Source: RNAcentral